This 21-nucleotide ribosomal RNA is filed under the name Melanoleuca heterocystidiosa. Its description in RNAcentral is "partial 28S ribosomal RNA". Lineage: Eukaryota; Fungi; Basidiomycota; Agaricomycetes; Agaricales; Pluteaceae. The record is from RNAcentral.
UUGACCUCAAAUCAGGUAGAG